Molecule: small nuclear RNA, 103 nt
Organism: Perognathus longimembris pacificus (Pacific pocket mouse)
Lineage: Eukaryota; Metazoa; Chordata; Mammalia; Rodentia; Heteromyidae
Source: RefSeq, a predicted model, not a curated record
GUGCUUUGGCAGCACAUAUACUAAAAUUGGAAUAAUACAGAGAAGACCAGCAUAGCCCUGCUGCAAGAAUGACAUGUAAAUUUAUAAAAAACAUUCCAUAUUU